AUGUGCAAACCGAAGUUCAUGGGUGGUCUGGGCUUCCGGGAUGUUGAGCUUUUCAACCUUGCUUUGUUGUCAAAACAAGUGUGGCGAUUGCUUCAAGAACCUAAUACACUCAGUGCUCGAGUUUUGAAAGCACGGUACUACCCAGACGAUCACAUUCUGGAUGCUGGUUUGGGUCGUCACCCCUCUCAGGUGUGGCGUUCAUUACUUGAGGGG
Molecule: ribosomal RNA, 213 nt
Filed under: Triticum aestivum (bread wheat)
Lineage: Eukaryota; Viridiplantae; Streptophyta; Magnoliopsida; Poales; Poaceae
Description: partial small subunit ribosomal RNA
Source: RNAcentral